CACGUAGGCACCAAGCGUUGUCCGGAUUUAUUGGGCGUAAAGAGCUCGUAGGCGGUUCAGUAAGUCGGGUGUGAAAACUCUGGGCUUAACCCAGAGCCUGCAUCCGAUACUGCUGUGACUAGAGUUCGGUAGGGGAGUGGGGAAUUCCUGGUGUAGCGGUGAAAUGCGCAGAUAUCAGGAGGAACACCGGUGGCGAAGGCGCCACUCUGGGCCGAAACUGACGCUGAGGAGCGAAAGCGUGGGUAGCAAACAGG
This 254-nucleotide ribosomal RNA is filed under the name uncultured bacterium. Its description in RNAcentral is "partial 16S ribosomal RNA". It matches the Rfam family "Bacterial small subunit ribosomal RNA", at positions 524 to 776 of the family's 1533-position model. The record is from RNAcentral.